This is a non-coding RNA of Oncorhynchus mykiss (rainbow trout), 825 nucleotides long. Lineage: Eukaryota; Metazoa; Chordata; Actinopteri; Salmoniformes; Salmonidae. The record is from RefSeq and is a predicted model, not a curated record.
AUACUUACUGUUGAUUGGUUCUCGGCCAAAGUAGGUGGUUUCCGGAGAGGCAAGUAGCCUUGUGGGUUACAGCGUUGGGCCGGUAAACGACAUCAAAUCCCCGGGCUGACAAGCCCUCACCGGCACCCUGGGUGAUCCAGGAGAAGACAAGGGAGCUUCAGUGGACCCUCCUGAUGGGCGAGCAGGACAUACAGGAGGAGGAGGAGUGGUAUGGGGACGAGAUACCUUGUAACUGGAGAUUCUUUCAAAAUGAUUGCCUACAGUUCCCGUGUCGGGCUCUGCAGGGUUGGGUGACCAGGGCCAGGGCAACAUCAGACACUACACUAUGCACAACCAAAGGCUCUUCUAAGAGGGUGCUGUUCCCUGGCAACACCAGGCACUACACUAUGCACAACCAAAGGCUCUUCUAAGAGGGUGCUGUUCCCUGGCAACACCAGACACUACACUAUGCACAACCAAAUGCUCUUCUAAGAGGGUGCUGUUCCCUGGCAACACCAUACACUACACUAUGCACAACCAAAGGCUCUUCUAAGAGGGUGCUGUUCCCUGGCAACACCAUACACUACACUAUGCACAACCAAAGGCUAUUCUUAGAGGGUGCUGUUCCCUGGCAACACCAUAGACUACACUAUGCACAACCAAAGAUUCUUCUAUUUAAAAAAAAAAAAAAUUGGACUUAAAGCUCAAAGUUUGUGGACCAGAAAUGGAUAGAAGAAGAAUAUUAAUAUACCUCUGUUGCACUUGACUAUGUUCUUGCCUAUUAGUUGAACUGUACUGUAUUGUAUUCUUCCCCUGCAAUUUUCUGAAUAAAAAUGUCAAUUUCAA